AAAUUUUACAAUAAUUCUCACUAAAAUAUCUUGAAAAUCAUUGUAAGUCUGUUUAUAUAAAGCAUACAAAGCAUAUACAUCGAAAAGGAACCGCAAAACUCAAAGUUUGAACUUCGUGAUCGAAUGACAUAAAACUGACAUGUCAACUCUAGCAUUUUCGUCUUUGGUCGCGUAAUUUUGAAAACGGGUGUAACUUAAACUUUAAUCGCAGCACAGUUAAUAGAAUACAUGGUUUGGAGACUCGAUGAAAGUACAAUAGAACUCAUCAACUAUGUUGGUUUCGGUUUAUGCAAGAAUUUGGGCCUAUCUCGUCACGUGUGUAUUGUAUUUUUUCCUGCACAACCAAUAGCAAUGUUUAAAUUGAGCAUUUGUUCAAGUUACGGGUGGAUAACUCAACCACAAACUUGUUAUUGGUUAUUUGAGCGAAAAUACAAUACACACGUGACGAGAUAGGACCAAAUUCUUGCAUAAAGCUGGACAAUAACAUAGUUAAUGAGUUAUAUUGUACUUUCAUCGAGUCUCCAAACCAUUUAUUGAAAUAACUGUGAUCACAGGCAGCCCAACACACACGUAAAGUUGUUACAGGUCUGCAAGCAAGUUGUUACAAAAGCUGUCGAUAAGUUGUGUUCGCACUGCUUGUUCCCAGUUAUUGUAACAACUUUGGAACAAG
Non-coding RNA from Paramuricea clavata, 670 nucleotides. The record is from the annotation of a GenBank genome assembly. NCBI's taxonomy places the organism in Eukaryota, Metazoa, Cnidaria, Anthozoa, Malacalcyonacea, Plexauridae.